Molecule: long non-coding RNA, 346 nt
Filed under: Brassica napus (rape)
Lineage: Eukaryota; Viridiplantae; Streptophyta; Magnoliopsida; Brassicales; Brassicaceae
Description: long non-coding RNA (BNAP_LNC019242)
Source: RNAcentral
CAUGACACUCUAUACUACUCUAUGCGGGAACUAGGGCUGACUAUCCACUACAAUCAGUUAAUGCAACUAAACAUUUCAUAUCAUCAUCAUUUCCAAGCAUUCACAAUUCUCGACGUUUCUAACAACCUAGCGAUCAACCAAUACAAUGACCUCACUCAUUGCCACACACAUCAGAACAUAGACUUAACCGACUCGACAUACAAGACUGACUCCAUCUUAUGACACCUUUAACACCCAAAUACCCGACCAUGAACUAAUGACACCUACCAUGCACGUUUUUAUAUCCCGCCUCUCGCGGCUGGCUCGUCUUCUCGUUCUCCGUGGGUAGCUCUCGCUAGACCACUAC